Molecule: ribosomal RNA, 375 nt
Filed under: uncultured organism
Description: partial 16S ribosomal RNA
Rfam family: Bacterial small subunit ribosomal RNA
Source: RNAcentral
GGAGGAGGCAAGCGUUGUCCGGAAUCAUUGGGGCGUAAAGAGCGCGUAGGCUGUUUUUCAAGUCAUAUGUGAAAAACCUCAGGGCUCAACUUGAGGACUGCAUAUGAAACUGGAUAACUUGAGUGCAGUAGGGGAAAGUGGAAUUCCUGGUGUAGCGGUGAAAUGCGCAGAUAUCAGGAAGAACACCGGUAGCGAAGGCGGCUUUCUGGGCUGCUACUGACGCUGAGGCGCGAAAGCUAGGGGAGCAAACAGGAUUAGAUACCCUGGUAGUCCUAGCUGUAAACGAUGGACACUAGGUGUGGGAAGUUAUCGACGCUUUCCGUGCCGGAGCUAACGCAUUAAGUGUCCCGCCUGGGGAGUACGGCCGCAAGGCUA